AGGCAGUGUGAUUAGCUUGCCG
RNAcentral lists this microRNA (22 nucleotides) under Branchiostoma belcheri (Belcher's lancelet). RNAcentral's name for it is "bbe-miR-34h-5p". Its record names the gene bbe-miR-34h-5p. Lineage: Eukaryota; Metazoa; Chordata; Leptocardii; Amphioxiformes; Branchiostomatidae. The record is from miRBase by way of RNAcentral.